AAGACUUUAAGUUAAAAAAACUAUUUGCCUUCAAAGCAAAAAAUAAUAAAAAUUAAGUCUUA
RNAcentral lists this transfer RNA (62 nucleotides) under Alectorobius guaporensis. Its description in RNAcentral is "tRNA-Trp". The record is from RNAcentral. Lineage: Eukaryota; Metazoa; Arthropoda; Arachnida; Ixodida; Argasidae.